UCGGGAAUUUUGGGCAAUGGGCGAAAGCCUGACCCAGCAACGCCGCGUGAAGGAUGAAAUCCCUCGGGAUGUAAACUUCGCAAGAACGGGAAGAAUAAGCCGGUAUUAACACCACCGGUGAUGACGGUACUGUUUGUAAGCUCCGGCUAACUCCGUGCCAGCAGCCGCGGUAAUACGGGGGGAGCAAGCGUUGUUCGGAUUUACUGGGCGUAAAGGGCGCGUAGGCGGCCUCUGCAAGUCGACUGUGAAAUCUCCGGGCUUAACCCGGAAAGGUCAGCCGAUACUGCAGGGCUAGAGUGCAGAAGGGGCAACUGGAAUUCUCGGUGUAGCGGUGAAAUGCGUAGAUAUCGAGAGGAACACCUGCGGCGAAGGCGGGUUGCUGGGCUGACACUGACGCUGAAGUGCGAAAGCUAGGGGAGCGAACGGGAUUAGAUACCCCGGUAGUCCUAGCCUUAAACGAUGAAUGCUUGGUGUCUGGGGUUUUAUAGUCCCCGGGUGCCGUCGCUAACGCUUUAAGC
Molecule: ribosomal RNA, 518 nt
Filed under: uncultured Acidobacteriota bacterium
Lineage: Bacteria; Pseudomonadati; Acidobacteriota
Description: bacterial SSU rRNA
Rfam family: Bacterial small subunit ribosomal RNA
Source: RNAcentral